UCUUUCUCAAAUUUCACUUAUGGGAACAAGUUUCCUAAGACACUUAAACUGUUAAAAAUGAUGAACUAAGAUGCAACUGCCAAGCAUCAAGCUGCUGUUACAGAUUAAUGGUCAGGGAUUACAAAAAGAUAGUUACCAGACUGAGGACUUGGUAUUUGUGUGGAUUACUGAGGAAAGUAACAUGGUAAAGACAGGCAAACAGGAAACUGGACCUCUCAUGGAGUCAAAGUCCUUUAAAUGAGGUUUAAUCUUUGAAAGGAAAGAAGAAAAAAAAAACCAAGUUUUUCUUUAGGCUACUCAUCAUGUUUAAAGCAUACCACUCCCAAUUUUGUUAAGCUCAGGAUAUUUGAGAAAACUGAAGAAGCAAGAUCAUGAAGCAGGAUGUAGAACCUAAGGAUUUUCUUAUCUUCCCUAAAGCACACCUUAACACUCAUGUGAAAGAUGCCCUCCUAGCACUGGGAAAAGGAACAUCCCUACCUCUGAAGAUGAAAGGAAAUGGAGGAUCACAAACAAACCCUGCCAAGUGCCACCCAGUUCAUACCUUCUUUCUCUUAUCAUUUCCUAAAUGACUAUUCACAUUUUAUCAAACCUGACAUAAAUAUACAAAGAUUAAGCUAUUUAUUCAGGUCAACAUUUCCUCAUGAAGGCAUGUAACAAUUAUAGUUUAAAAUUUUUAAUGUUUCCUCUGUUAAUCUGCUUUUUGUUAUAGGUUAAGGGAAAUGUUAACGAAUAUGACUCACAAUCGACAUACAUAUUGGAAAUUAGCAGAGACAACAUUGAACUAGUUGCUAUGACUUCACUACAGAUGUUCAAAAUGUUAAGUAGCCUCAUGGGACAUAAAAGAGAGCCAAUUCUCCAUUCUAGAACAUGAGAGAUUUUUAAAAAAAUUACACUGCAUGAGAUUGAUGGCAGACUUGACAUUGCCAAAGGAAAGGUCAGUGAACUUGAAGACAUAGCAACAGAAAUGAGCUAAAAUGAAAACCUGAAGAAACAACAACAACAACAACAACAAAGAGUAAUAAAUGGCUACAGAAUCAGUGAAACAUGGAAUAACUUUAAGAAGUCCAAUAUACAGUGGCAAAAUAUCCCCAAAGGAGAAAAGACGCAGGAGGGCAGAUAAACAUUUUAAGAAAUUAUAGUCCUCCAAGUCAAAAUUUAAUAAAAAGAAUAAACUCAUCAAAAGUACAAAUGAUACUCUGAAACAGGAAAUCUACAGAAAACUGUAAUGAGGUACACAAGAACAAUUGCUCAAAACCAGCAAUAAAGAAAUAUGUUAAGAUGGUGGAGAAACAGAAAUAUUACAUACAAAGGAACAAAGGUAAUGACAGCAGACUUUUCAUAGGUACAAAAGUAAGCUAAAAAAAACAAAUACCUUAAAUUGAAAGAAAUAUCAUUUCAAUCUAGUAAUUGAUAAUAACUAUCAAAAAAUAGACAAAAUGUUUUAGAUUUAUAAAAGCUGAAAUAAUACAACCCCAGAAGACCCAAACUAUAAUAAAUAUUCAAAGUCCUUCAUCAAAAAGAAAGUGAUAUUAACUUGCGAUAUGGAUUGCCAAAAAGAAAUGAAGAACAAUGAAAUUGGUAAUUAUAAAAGUACAUAAUAAUCAGUUAAAUUGUUAAAUGAUAAUUGACAUAUUUCUAUGCCUAAUAAAAAAUAAUAACCUUCCACAAAGGAAACCA
Non-coding RNA from Ictidomys tridecemlineatus (thirteen-lined ground squirrel), 1677 nucleotides. Lineage: Eukaryota; Metazoa; Chordata; Mammalia; Rodentia; Sciuridae. The record is from RefSeq and is a predicted model, not a curated record.